RNAcentral lists this ribosomal RNA (403 nucleotides) under uncultured bacterium. Its description in RNAcentral is "bacterial SSU rRNA". It matches the Rfam family "Bacterial small subunit ribosomal RNA", at positions 355 to 775 of the family's 1533-position model. The record is from RNAcentral.
CAGGGAAUAUUGGUAAUGGGCGAAAGCCUGAACCAGCAACGCUGCGUGUGCGAUGAAGGCCUUCGGGUUGUAAAGCACUUUUGACCGGGACGAGGAAGGACGGUACCGGUGGAAUAAGCCUCGGCUAACUACGUGCCGGCAGCCGCGGUAAAACGUAGGAGGCGAGCGUUAUCCGGAUUUACUGGGUGUAAAGCGCGUGCAGGCGGUUAGCUAAGUUGGGUGUGAAAGCUCCUGGCUCAACUGGGAGAGGUCGCUCAAGACUGGCUGACUCGAGGAUGGUAGGGGAAGGUGGAAUUCCGGGUGUAGUGGUGAAAUGCGUAGAUAUCCGGAGGAACACCAGUGGCGAAGGCGGCCUUCUGGACCAUCACUGACGCUCAGACGCGAAAGCUAGGGUAGCAAACGG